AGCAGCCGCGGUAAUUCCAGCUCCAAUAGCGUAUAUUAAAGUUGUUGCAGUUAAAAAGCUCGUAGUUGAAUUUCGAGACCGGCUUACUGGUCGUGCUAUUGUACGUACUGGUAUAAUCGGUUUCUCCUUUCUGACGAAUUAUAAUGCCAUUAAUUUGGUGUUAUAGGGAAUCAGGACUGUUACUUUGAAAAAAUUAGAGUGUUUAAAGCAGGCUCACGCUUGAAUACAUUAGCAUGGAAUAACGGAAUAGGACGUUUGAUUCUAUUUUGUUGGUUUCUAGGAUCGACGUAAUGAUUAAUAGGGAUAGUUGGGGGCAUUAGUAUUCAAUUGUCAGAGGUGAAAUUCUUGGAUUUAUUGAAGACUAACUACUGCGAAAGCAUUUGCCAAGGAUGUUUUCAUUAAUCAAGAACGAAAGUUAGGGGAUCGAAGACGAUCAGAUACCGUCGUAGU
Molecule: ribosomal RNA, 450 nt
Filed under: uncultured Glomeromycotina
Lineage: Eukaryota; Fungi; Glomeromycota
Description: SSU rRNA
Rfam family: Eukaryotic small subunit ribosomal RNA
Source: RNAcentral